AAAGAGCAGAGUCAUCUGUCUGCUGGUCUGAGCCACGGAGGCUCAGGUGCUGGGCUCCAGCUUCACGGUCCCCGCGGUGGGGGGUCAGGCCCCUGCUGCGUGGGGGCUUGGGGGGCGCACAGGCCUGCCUUAUCUGCUUACGUGUGGAGAAACAGCCAGACCCAGACUGAAGGACCGGACUUCACGGAUCGGAAACACAACUGAGGCACAGAAUUGUUAAGUGAUUUGAUGAAGAUCACACAGCUGUUAGCACCAGGGCAGCAGUGGGGUCACAGGCAAAAGAAGAUUCUAGAGACAGUCUAUGGAGAGAGGCUGCAGCGUCCUGCAGUAACUGAAGUUUGAAAUGAUGACCUUGACCUAGAGGCUGGGGGUGAGGACGGAGCACCAAGGAUAGAAGCAGGAGACCCUGCAGAGGGUGGCUUGAAGCCGGCCAGAACUGCCGCCCCAGCGUCUCACAGUUCCGUCUCAAUGACACACGGGCGUGGACGGCCACCUGCUUCCAGGGCCCCGAAGCUGCCUGCACACGGCAGGCCCGCUGGCCGAGCGGCCGCUCCUGGCCCCCGGGAGAAGCAGUCUGCUCCUUGGUCGGGCAGACCUGGGGUAGAGACCUGACCCUGCUACUGGCUGGCUGGAGAAGUCAAUUUGCCUCUCUCUGCCCCCGUUUCCUCAUCUGCCAAAUGAUACCGAAUCCUACUUCUGCAAGACCUUUAUGAGGACUCAGAAAAGGAUGGAGAAACCACAGCCUGCCUCCGCUUACCUGUGUCGAGUCCCGGCAGGCUCUGAAGUCCUCCCGGUCCAUUCACGGUAAUGUCUCAAGGGCCCCCAGACCUGCCCCUUCCCUCCAGGAGGCCCAUACCUGGAUGCUCUCAAAAACGUGCUCAAAGGCCCUGGGGAUGAUGCCUCUCUGUGAGGACGGGUCCGGCAGGCCCUGCAUGGUGAAGGACUUCCCGCUGCCCGUCUGGCCAUAGGCGAAAAUGGUGCCAUUGUAGCCCUCAGUGACACCCUGCGUGGGAGAACCAAAGCCCGGUGCUCAGCCGGCCGAGCCCAGCUGGACUCGGCCGUCUCUAACUCACAGACUCAGGGCCCCUCCCAGGAUGGCACUGGGCUGGCUGUGCGGUACAGAGAUAAGUAAGUCACAGUUCUGUCCUCUAGGUGUCCACCUCCUGGUGGGGGACACUGUCCGUGUGUGGAGUUAAGGGCUUGUGCGGUGGAGCCUGGCCUCUCUUUCAGGGGUUCAAAUCACCCUUUUCCUGAGUGUGUGCCGGGGGAGCUGGUCUUACCCAGGCACACUGAGCCUCAGUUCCCCCUCAGGAUCAGAACAGCACCUCCUUCUAAGCCUGUAGUGAGGUUUACACGCAAACUAUUUCCUGCACUGGCACACAGAGGGCUCACGUACAGGGGCGCUCACUGAACGUCUGCCUGAAACGUGGCGGAGACGGACCUGUACAAGCGACCCUCACGCCAGGCAAGCGGAGGAAGAGGAAGGCAUUCCAGGUGGAGGGGGUGCGGAGAGGUAAGAGUCUGAGAGCAGGUGGAGCUGGGGCGAGGGGGACGGAAGAAAGGAAGCAAAGCGGCGGCAACCCUGAAAUCGGUCUUCACUCACUGACACGUCUGUUCAUUCCACGGCGCUCCGGCUGGGGACACGGCGGUGAUCGAGGCGGAACCCCAGUCCCUGCCCUCACAGAGCUCAUGAGGUCACCGAUUCUAGAACUCAGCACGGGGCAGUGGAAUCCUGUGUCAGAACGUGGGCCCAGAGAGCUGCUCCCAGGCCCCGAGGGCCCACCUGGCAUCCACACCCAGUGACCCACAAAGACCCAUCCUGUGGGCCAACGUGGGGCUUGGGAUCCCCAGGGACUGCUGGUGAAGGAACCAGAAAUCAUGAUUCACGGCUUCUCUGACGGCCAGGCCUCAUUCUUCUGGGCGGAACCGGAUGAGCCCCUUUCGUCUGUCCAAGGAAACCCUAACCACUGUGUGGGUUCCUGCACCUCCACAGAGCUCCAGGGGACUGCACACAGGGACCAGCCCCCUGUGGUGGGGCAGAGGCAAUGGCAGACCCACCGCCCGGCCAGGAGCCACCGCCGGGCUCCUCAGAGCUGGGGACACAUGCAGGGUCCACAUGGUGCGGGGCCCAGAGUAUCAGCGUCACCCAAGCCCGGGGAAGAUAUUCUACACAAAAACAUGUAUCGCUUCGCUGUCUGGUAGGGUGGCCACCAGCCACACUAGCAAUGGGCCCAGUGCGACUGAGGAACUGAAUUUAUUUUAUUUUAGUUAAUUUACAUUUCACAGAAGCAAUAUAAAAUAUUUUUCCAUUAAACAGAACCUUAUUUUUUGUUCCAUUUCGUUUGAACUGUCGACACUUUAGCAUCCGCAACAUGAUACGAUGUAAGACACACAUCUGAUUGCAAAGACUUCGCAUGACGGAAGAAUGUCAACUAUCUCUCACUGAUAUCAAAGAAUGACUACACGUUACCAGUAUGUUUUCUUGAAAUAAUGUUCCGGAUAUACUGGGUUCAAUAAAAAUCUCUUAUUAAAACUA
This is a long non-coding RNA of Neofelis nebulosa (Clouded leopard), 2536 nucleotides long. RefSeq lists it as uncharacterized. NCBI's taxonomy places the organism in Eukaryota, Metazoa, Chordata, Mammalia, Carnivora, Felidae. The record is from RefSeq and is a predicted model, not a curated record. The transcript has 2 exons.